CCGAGGGCAUGCAGGGGCCAGAUGCCCACUUGUGCCCUGUGCCUGGGUGAGUGAGGUGUGCAAGGUGGGCCUCUGUUCUGCUGCCAGCCCAGCCAAUGAUGGCAAGGACAGAGGGUUCAAAGCUCUGACCCCCAUUGUAAACAGGGGGCAGAGGAGCCGCCCACCUGAGCAGCAUCAGAUCCAUGCAAAGUGCCAGGUGGAGGUGAAACACAGCCAGCGACACGACUGUUGGUAUUUCGGGUCAACUCACCUUGAGCUGGAGGGAGCAGUCAGCCUCCAAGAAGGCACGACGUGACACAGUCCAGACCCCUUGCCCGCCUCUGCUGGCGUUUCCUCAUCAGCAAAAUGUGGAGAUAACAGCGCCUACCUAAUUGGGAUGCUGUGAGGAUUGAGAGAAUACACAGAAACAGCUUAGAACACUACCUCAAUUGUUCUACACACACCUGAGUUGGCAAGUGUGUGAAGUAACCUCCUCCGAGUCCUGGACUGUGGACAGUGAUGCCACCUUUUGGCACAACUCCCCUAGAAUUUAAGGAGACCAAGACAUUGUGAAAACCAAGUGUCUCCCACCUUGCCAGGACCUAUAAAGUCAAGGGCGGUGCUGGCAUAUUUUGUUCCUGUGACAGGGGCUGAUGAGGUCACUGUGGGAAUCACAGCAAGUCCAAGUCCAUGAGGCUUAGGGAGAAGGCUGUGCAUCACCCUCAUGGGCCGGGAGCUCCAGGAACAGCUUUCCCAGAUUUACGCUGAGGGAGUCCUGAAUCCAGGAAGGAGGUUCCAUGGCCACCUGGCACCAUGUGUCAAUCUCCCAGGUCUGUGAGUACUCUGGUCUCAGCCAGCUGAGGAAGCCGUGGGUCAACAUGAAAAUGCACACCCAGGAAGCCAUCUGCCCCAAGGAGUGAGUAGCUGCUGGACUAGUCCUCUCCUACACAUGGCUGAUACCAGGUGAUCUGUGAAUCUGGCGUCACAUGCUCCCUCAAUCCCGGAGCCAUCCUGUGAAAGAAAUGGGCCAAGGUUCAAAGGCCAUCUACAGAGAGGACCUCCCCCUGGGCCCCAGGAGCCCUGUGCUCUCUGGCAGGCACAACCUAGUACUCAUUUCAAAGGACACAAGGAGCCUAAACCACCCAC
This 1125-nucleotide long non-coding RNA is filed under the name Homo sapiens (human). RNAcentral describes it as "HSALNT0357605". Lineage: Eukaryota; Metazoa; Chordata; Mammalia; Primates; Hominidae. The record is from RNAcentral.